AUGUUUAAAAAUUGUUGUUGCUUUAAAUUGCUAUAUGCACAUGAGGAUUUUCCAGAAUUGUUGUUUGUUGUUCCAGCCUCAUUUAAACUUGCCAAGGUAGGUAGUUUUAUUAUGCUUCACCUCUCGCCAUGUUUAAACAACAUUUAA
Molecule: ribosomal RNA, 147 nt
Filed under: Triticum aestivum (bread wheat)
Lineage: Eukaryota; Viridiplantae; Streptophyta; Magnoliopsida; Poales; Poaceae
Description: partial small subunit ribosomal RNA
Source: RNAcentral